UACGAAGGGGGCUAGCGUUGUUCGGAAUCACUGGGCGUAAAGGGCGCGUAGGCGGCUUUAUAAGUCGGGGGUGAAAGCCUGUGGCUCAACCACAGAAUUGCCUUCGAUACUGUAGAGCUUGAGACCGGAAGAGGUUAGUGGAACUGCGAGUGUAGAGGUGAAAUUCGUAGAUAUUCGCAAGAACACCAGUGGCGAAGGCGGACUGACUGGUCCGGUUCUGACGCUGAGGCGCGAAAGCGUGGGGAGCAAACAGG
RNAcentral lists this ribosomal RNA (254 nucleotides) under uncultured bacterium. RNAcentral's name for it is "partial 16S ribosomal RNA". It matches the Rfam family "Bacterial small subunit ribosomal RNA", at positions 524 to 776 of the family's 1533-position model. The record is from RNAcentral.